Molecule: non-coding RNA, 623 nt
Filed under: Vairimorpha apis BRL 01
Lineage: Eukaryota; Fungi; Microsporidia; Nosematidae
Description: Nosema apis BRL 01 Eukaryotic large subunit ribosomal RNA
Rfam family: Eukaryotic large subunit ribosomal RNA
Source: Rfam by way of RNAcentral
GAAUAUAUUAAUAUAAUAGAUUACCCUUUGAACUUAAGCAUAUCAUUAAAAGGAGGAGAAGAAACUAACUAGGAUUUCUUUAGUAGCAGCGAGUGAACAAGAAACAACCCUUGAUUGUAAUCCUUUAUGGAGCUGUAAAUCAUAUAUUUUAUUUCUUAUUUCGUAGAGGAUGUAUAUUCGUUAUAAAUGAGAUAUAUAAAAGUAAUUGAGUAGGGCUGCUUGGUAGUGCAGUUUGAAUAUAGGUAGAAUGAUAUAUCCAAGGUUAAAUAUAAUGGUACACCGAUAGCAAAUAAGUACUGCGAAGGAACUUGUGAAAAUGUGUGGGUUAUAGCCUUAUUUUUAAGGACCCGUCUUGAAACACGGACCAAGGAGAUUAUAAUUAUAGCGAGAUAACAAUGUAGUCGUUAUUAGCUUGAUAAGUUAUAAUUAUAAGACCCGAAACACAGUGAACUAUACAUGUUCUGGUUGAAGAUAAGCAACAGUUUAUUGGAAGACCAUAAUCAUUCUGACGUGCAAAUCGAUGAUUUAAGAUGUGUAUAGUGGCGAAAGACCAAUCGAACUGUGUGGUAGCUGGUUCACAGCGAAAUGUCUCUCAGGACAGCAGUCAUUUUUUAGGACAUAGA